GUACCGCGGCUGCUGGCACGGAGUUAGCCGGGGUUUCUUUACCUGCUACCGUCAUUAUCUUCACAGGCGAAAGAGCUUUACGAUCCUAAGACCUUCGUCACUCACGCGGCAUGGCUAGAUCAGGCUUGCGCCCAUUGUCUAAGAUUCCCCACUGCUGCCUCCCGUAGGAGUCUGGGCCGUGUCUCAGUCCCAGUGUGGCUGAUCAUCCUCUAAAACCAGCUAUGGAUCGUCGGCUUGGUAGGCCAUUACCCCACCAACUACCUAAUCCAACGCGGGCCGAUCCUCCUCCGAUAAAUCUUCCCCCAAAAGGGCGUAUGCGGUAUUACUCACCGUUUCCAGUGGCUAUCCCGCAGAAGAGGGCACGUUCCCACGCGUUACUCACCCGUCCGCCGCUCACCCCGAAGGGCGCGCUCGACUUGCAUGUGUUAGGCCUGCCGCCAGCGUUCGUUCUGAGCCAUGAUCAAACUC
This 468-nucleotide ribosomal RNA is filed under the name uncultured Alphaproteobacteria bacterium. RNAcentral's name for it is "partial 16S ribosomal RNA". The record is from RNAcentral. Lineage: Bacteria; Pseudomonadati; Pseudomonadota; Alphaproteobacteria.